Molecule: long non-coding RNA, 1409 nt
Organism: Canis lupus familiaris (dog)
Lineage: Eukaryota; Metazoa; Chordata; Mammalia; Carnivora; Canidae
Exons: 3
Source: RefSeq, a predicted model, not a curated record
UCUAAGAUGUCUAGGAGCUGGAGAGAUGUGUCAGCACCCACACCUGAGGCCACUCUGGGGCCUCUGACUAGAAGCCAGAGGGGAUGCUACAGCAUUGGGAAACCAGGCGGGAAUGUGGGUGUGAAUGUGUGAACUUGGGGGCAGGAAGAGGGGAUGAAGAAUGAGAUUAUCUUGCUCUGCCCCGAUGGAUCGUACAUAGAGUGACUUCAGGCCUGGACACUGCACUUGAGGAGGGAGGCUGAGGGAUCGCAGCAGUGGCUGGCUCCUGGAGGACUGGGAAGUGAGACAGGGGAGCUCUGGGGGUGUGAGGAAUGGGAGGCAGAAGGCCCAGGAGCACCAGCCCUGCUCACUGCCAUAGGACAGGUUGUCCUGUGAAAGAUUAAGUCAGACCUGCCCAGAGAGGCCAGCGGGGAGAACCGGAAGAGACAAGAGGGAUUCCAGGGAGACAGAGCACAGUGUGAGGAGAGGAAGACGUCUGGAGCAGGUAGUGGUGAGCGGUCCAGCAAAGCACUCGGGAACCCAAAAGAACCGAGAACAGUGCCUGGCACCUGACAGGUGGUCAUGUAUAUGGAUACAGUGACAGAGGGGACACUAGUGAAUGGCCUCACCUACCUUUUUAAGAGGAGAAAACUGAAGAAUGUCGAUGUCAACCUGGCUAAAGUCAUGCGGCAAGCAUUCAGGGAAGCCCAAUAUCAUCAUACCCUUACAGCUUGGCUCCAAAGUCCAAACCUUUAGCCACUUUAACAUAUGAACACAUCAUGGGGGGAAGCCAAGCUCAGAAGAUAAAAUGAUAAGUUUUAGGAUAUCUGAGGUUUUAGAAAAAAAAAUCCAAAAUUACAAAAUUCUCCAAAAUUUGGUAAAGUUCUAUAAACGUCAAGGACCAUCCUGUUGAUACCUAAUUCUAUUAGUUGAUUGAUACCCAGUUAUAUUAAUUGAUAUUCAGGUUUCAUCUUAGCUUGUGCUGAGACUUUUUUUCUUUCAUGGAAACUUAUCUCCAAAUUUAUUGUGUAUGCCAAAGGGAAAACAGAUUCACUCUCCAUCAUUUUGGUAUACAACCGACAUCACCAGGAUGCUUUUAUAUUGUUGAGUGAAGGAUGCACAUAUAAAUGGAGCAGUGAACCCUGAGAUAUACAGUGGAUGGGACAAAGAGGCGCCCUGAAUGAAUGAGCUAAUAUGGUGCAGCGGGAAAGGCAUAAUUUAGGAGUUAGACAGUGGCUCUGCCACUGAAGAGUGGUAUAACCUUGGACUGUGCACCUCACCUCUAAAUCUCAGUUUUCUGAGCUGAGAAAUGGGGGUAAUGUACUCCCACAGGCCUGCUGGGAUAAUGGAAUGAUCAUAUUUUAAAUGUCUGCUACAGGUGGCCUUUUGGGAUGCCUGGGUAGCUCAGUGGUUGAGGGUCUGCCUCUGGC